AGCCGGGUCGUCUAGCGGUCAAGGAUGGCGGGCUUUGGCCCCGUCGACCAGGGUUCGAAUCCCUGCCCGGCUA
Molecule: non-coding RNA, 73 nt
Organism: Acidianus hospitalis W1
Lineage: Archaea; Thermoproteati; Thermoproteota; Thermoprotei; Sulfolobales; Sulfolobaceae
Source: Rfam